Molecule: ribosomal RNA, 465 nt
Filed under: uncultured bacterium
Lineage: Bacteria
Description: partial 16S ribosomal RNA
Rfam family: Bacterial small subunit ribosomal RNA
Source: RNAcentral
CUACGGGACGCUGCAGUGAGGAAUUUUGCGCAAUGGGGGGAACCCUGACGCAGCAACGCCGCGUGAGUGAUGAAGGCUUUCGGGUCGUAAAGCUCUGUCAAGUGGGAAGAACCUAUGCAGUGUUAAUAUCACUGUAUACUGACGGUACCACUGAAGGAAGCACCGGCUAACUCCGUGCCAGCAGCCGCGGUAAUACGGGGGGUGCAAGCGUUAUUCGGAAUCAUUGGGCGUAAAGGGCACGUAGGCGGCUUGGUAAGUCAGAUGUGAAAGCCCGGGGCUUAACCGCGGAAGUGCAUUUGAGACUGGCAGGCUUGAGUAUGGGAGAGGGAAGUGGAAUUCCUGGUGUAGAGGUGAAAUUCGUAGAUAUCAGGAGGAACACCGGUGGCGAAGGCGACUUCCUGGACCAAUACUGACGCUGAGGUGCGAAGGCGUGGGUAGCAAACAGGAUUAGAUACCCUGGUAGUC